This 1499-nucleotide ribosomal RNA is filed under the name Klebsiella pneumoniae. RNAcentral describes it as "bacterial SSU rRNA". It matches the Rfam family "Bacterial small subunit ribosomal RNA". Lineage: Bacteria; Pseudomonadati; Pseudomonadota; Gammaproteobacteria; Enterobacterales; Enterobacteriaceae. The record is from RNAcentral.
AGAGUUUGAUCAUGGCUCAGAUUGAACGCUGGCGGCAGGCCUAACACAUGCAAGUCGAGCGGUAGCACAGAGAGCUUGCUCUCGGGUGACGAGCGGCGGACGGGUGAGUAAUGUCUGGGAAACUGCCUGAUGGAGGGGGAUAACUACUGGAAACGGUAGCUAAUACCGCAUAACGUCGCAAGACCAAAGUGGGGGACCUUCGGGCCUCAUGCCAUCAGAUGUGCCCAGAUGGGAUUAGCUAGUAGGUGGGGUAACGGCUCACCUAGGCGACGAUCCCUAGCUGGUCUGAGAGGAUGACCAGCCACACUGGAACUGAGACACGGUCCAGACUCCUACGGGAGGCAGCAGUGGGGAAUAUUGCACAAUGGGCGCAAGCCUGAUGCAGCCAUGCCGCGUGUGUGAAGAAGGCCUUCGGGUUGUAAAGCACUUUCAGCGGGGAGGAAGGCGNCGAUUGACGUUACCCGCAGAAGAAGCACCGGCUAACUCCGUGCCAGCAGCCGCGGUAAUACGGAGGGUGCAAGCGUUAAUCGGAAUUACUGGGCGUAAAGCGCACGCAGGCGGUCUGUCAAGUCGGAUGUGAAAUCCCCGGGCUCAACCUGGGAACUGCAUUCGAAACUGGCAGGCUAGAGUCUUGUAGAGGGGGGUAGAAUUCCAGGUGUAGCGGUGAAAUGCGUAGAGAUCUGGAGGAAUACCGGUGGCGAAGGCGGCCCCCUGGACAAAGACUGACGCUCAGGUGCGAAAGCGUGGGGAGCAAACAGGAUUAGAUACCCUGGUAGUCCACGCCGUAAACGAUGUCGAUUUGGAGGUUGUGCCCUUGAGGCGUGGCUUCCGGAGCUAACGCGUUAAAUCGACCGCCUGGGGAGUACGGCCGCAAGGUUAAAACUCAAAUGAAUUGACGGGGGCCCGCACAAGCGGUGGAGCAUGUGGUUUAAUUCGAUGCAACGCGAAGAACCUUACCUGGUCUUGACAUCCACAGAACUUNUUGGUGCCUUCGGGAACUGUGAGACAGGUGCUGCAUGGCUGUCGUCAGCUCGUGUUGUGAAAUGUUGGGUUAAGUCCCGCAACGAGCGCAACCCUUAUCCUUUGUUGCCAGCGGUCCGGCCGGGAACUCAAAGGAGACUGCCAGUGAUAAACUGGAGGAAGGUGGGGAUGACGUCAAGUCAUCAUGGCCCUUACGACCAGGGCUACACACGUGCUACAAUGGCAUAUACAAAGAGAAGCGACCUCGCGAGAGCAAGCGGACCUCAUAAAGUAUGUCGUAGUCCGGAUUGGAGUCUGCAACUCGACUCCAUGAAGUCGGAAUCGCUAGUAAUCGUAGAUCAGAAUGCUACGGUGAAUACGUUCCCGGGCCUUGUACACACCGCCCGUCACACCAUGGGAGUGGGUUGCAAAAGAAGUAGGUAGCUUAACCUUCGGGAGGGCGCUUACCACUUUGUGAUUCAUGACUGGGGUGAAGUCGUAACAAGGUAACCGUAGGGGAACCUGCGGUUGGAUCACCU